RNAcentral lists this ribosomal RNA (324 nucleotides) under Triticum aestivum (bread wheat). Its description in RNAcentral is "partial small subunit ribosomal RNA". Lineage: Eukaryota; Viridiplantae; Streptophyta; Magnoliopsida; Poales; Poaceae. The record is from RNAcentral.
AUGCUGGACAUUUCUUUUCUGCUGUCCUCAACACAUUCUUUAGUAACGGAGAGGAUUACUCACCUUUGGUGCUGCAGGCGUUCAAGACCCAGGGCUGGGCCAACCGGCCCUUUGUGUUUGAAGAUCCCUGACACCCCAUGCUACCAGCCGGGCAUCUUCUUCCUGAGCCAUGUCCGGAACCAGAGCAGCAGGGGCACCCUGAGCGAGUACUCGAGGCAUGUUGUCAGGUUGGCGGGGUACAACCAGGCCAGCUGCCGUGUGUGUCCACGGUUCAUACAGUCAAGGUGUUCGCUCAUCUCCCAAGAUGAGCCAGAACGAGCAUGA